RNAcentral lists this ribosomal RNA (372 nucleotides) under uncultured organism. RNAcentral describes it as "bacterial SSU rRNA". It matches the Rfam family "Bacterial small subunit ribosomal RNA", at positions 526 to 896 of the family's 1533-position model. The record is from RNAcentral.
CGUAGGCGGCAAGCGUUGUCCGGAUUUACUGGGCGUAAAGGAUGCGUAGGUGGAUAUUUAAGUGGGAUGUGAAAUACCCGGGCUCAACUCGGGUGCUGCAUUCCAAACUGGAUAUCUAGAGUGCAGGAGAGGUAAGUGGAAUUCCUAGUGUAGCGGUGAAAUGCGUAGAGAUUAGGAAGAACACCAGUGGCGAAGGCGACUUACUGGACUGUAACUGACACUGAGGCAUGAAAGCGUGGGGAGCAAACAGGAUUAGAUACCCUGGUAGUCCACGCCGUAAACGAUGGGUACUAGGUGUGGGAGGUAUCGACCCCUUCCGUGCCGCCGUUAACACAAUAAGUACCCCGCCUGGGGAGUACGGUCGCAAGAUUA